Non-coding RNA from Podarcis lilfordi (Lilford's wall lizard), 4114 nucleotides. NCBI's taxonomy places the organism in Eukaryota, Metazoa, Chordata, Lepidosauria, Squamata, Lacertidae. The record is from the annotation of a GenBank genome assembly.
UUUCAGCUUGAUGGCAUGUGGGUAUCUAGCACAUAUGACUUGCUCAACAUCUGAAACUGUUAAGGUUCAAGAAGACUCGGAAUACACUGCAUGUCAUUUUAACCAUGGCAGCAACUCUCUAGGAAAAAUCUGAAGACAAAUCAUUGAAGGAAAGAGACUGAUCAGAGAUUUCUUAAAUUGACCCUUACUGGUCAAUUACAAGCAAUCCAUUUGUGUUUCUAACACACCCUUCUCCCCAAAUAUCUCGGGGUGGGGCACAAUGAAACACACACCCGUAUGUGUGUGUGUGUGUGUGUGUAUUGCCACAAUACAAAUGCACACAGGGCAGAAAUUACAGAAACUAGGAUAGCAAAUAACAAAUCCACAGAAAACCAAAUACAGAGUGCCCAGCAGUGUAGAUGUCAACCCAGUUGGAAUAGGGUGGUAUUCUACAAUUGGGGUACCAUGGCAGAGAAGACCCUUUCACUGGUUACUGCACAACAGAUGCCAUUCCCAUAUGGAGUCACUAACAAGCCUUCCUCAUUAUCUUAACUCAAGAGGCUGGUUGGUAUGGAAGAAGGUCUCAAAGUAUCUAUAGAUGCAAGCUAUUUCUAGCUUUAUAAGCCAUCACAAACACCUAGUGGAAAAUUGGCAGCCAAUGCAGCACUUUCAGGACUGUCUUGAUAAUUGAAUCCACUCAGUAACCGAGUAGCUGCAUUCUGCACAAGUUGUGGCCCCUGGACCCUCUUUGCCAUAAUAUUCAUAGUAAUCGAACUGUCUCAUUAAUUAAUUCAGAUUACCAGCACAUCAAUCACUGCAGGAAAUUAUCCCUGCCCAGGAACAGCUGUAGCUGAUCAACCGGUAGCUAGUAGAAGAUGUUUCUAGCCACCAAAGCCACCUGGACCUUCAGUGGCAAUGACAGAUCAAGGCAAACCUCCAAGAAAACACACAAGCCAUGCAGUAGUUACAAUGUCGCACCAGGGCUGCAGAAGCCCAGGUUCGAAUUCACACUCAGCCAUCAAGCUUGCUGGUGACCUUGUGCCUGUCACCAUCCCUCAGCCUUACCCUAACCCAAAGGGUUUGUGUGAGGACAAACUGGAGAGGGGAUUAUCAUAUGCAUAAGAACCUAAGAAGAACCCUAUUGGGUCAGCCUAUCUAGUCCUCCUGUUAUCAUGGAGGCAAACUAGAUCCCUGCUGAAAGCCCACAAGGACAUGAACACAGGGACGUUCCACUGUUCUUCGGCAAUACUUGUUCUUCUGUAUGCUUGGCAAUUUAUAUAUUUAAUCAUGGUUCCAACCAGUUUCCCCAGAACACUUGUUAAUGUAGGUAGCCUGUGAUUUCCUGAAUUCCCACCCCUCUCCCAGAUCUCUCUUGAAGAAUUUGUGUUAUAUUGACCACUUUCUAAUAUUCAAGUAUGGAUGUCAAUCUCAGGAACAAGUUAUAUAUAUCUUGGUUAGAAGAUCGAAAAUUUUACAUCUGCGUUAUUUAAGAACUGUUGGGUAGAUACCAUCUAGAACUGGUGAAUUGUUAGUUUUGAGUUAUCAAUAAGGCAUCUCUCAUCACCACUAUUUGCCUAAGUCUUUCAGAUUUCCUUCCAGAUACAUCAGUUCAGGCACAGGCUUCUGCCCUGUUUUCCACAAUGAAAACAAAUGCAAAUAAUUCCAUUUCUCUGCAAUCUCCUUUUCUUCCUUUAGCACACUUUUAAUUCUACUGCCAUCCAACUGCCUCUGCUGCUGGGCUCCUACUAAUACAGUGGUACCUCGGGUUAAGUACUUAAUUUGUUCCAGAGGUCCGUUCUUAACCUGAAACUGUUCUUAACCUGAAGCACCACUUUAGCCGCGAUGCCGGAGCACGAUUUCUGUUCUCAUCCUGAAGCAAAGUUCUUAACCCGAGGUACUAUUUCUGGGUUAGCGGAGUCUGUAACCUGAAGCAUAUGUAACCCGAGGUACCGCUGUAAAGGAUUGUUAUUGUUGGUCGUAAUGUUUUCAUCCAUAUGUUCUCUGAGCCCUUUUUUGAAUUCCUUAUUGUCUGCUUGCCUUCCCUUGCCAAAGUUGUGUUCCUUUUCGUUCUCAUUUGGGAUCACUUUAAAAGGUGUUCUGCCAACUUUUUGAUUUUAAGAGCCAACAGUUUCCACUCUAUGCUUCCUUGAGUUCCUUGGAAGAAAGGUAAGAUAUAAAUGCAAUAAAAUAAACAGCAACUAACAUGCACAUGUCAGGAAGCCGGUAAUUGGACAGGCAUUUGGCUCCCAUAAUAUAUGCAAAGUGCCUUAAGAGAAAGCAAGAGGAGGAAGUUCAGUUGGCAGUACUAAUUCUUAUUCCAGGUUUGGGACCAGACCAAUGGUAAAUGGACAGAAGAGAACCACUUGACCUCACAAGGUAUUAAGAAAACAAGUUGCAGAGGAACUGGAAAGGGAUUUCAAGCUCAUGUAAGAUUUCAGCUACAAGCACAAACAUAAUAUGCAAAUCAUGAUGUGCUAAUUAGUAGCUUGCUUCCCGUACCCUUUGUCCUUCUUAACAACUUCCAUCCCAGGUGAGGCCCUGGUAUCUUCCCUUCAAUACUGCAAAUAUUAUCUAAAUUAUACUAUUCAUUAAUUCUACCACUUAUGAGUGCCUUUGCACCCCCAAACUCUGUAACCCCAGAGCUGUAACAAUAUGUAGAACAUGGCUGUAAGAGUACUUAAAAAUUGAAUUGAAAGCAUAUAAUUGUUCAGUAGCAAUGAUGUUUAUUGCUGAACACUCUUAGGAUCAUCUUGUUCUUAGCAAUGGAAACUGUGCCAGACUUUUGAAUGUUUACUUAAAAAAAAAUUAACAGGAAAGUCAUGUGAUUAAUCAUCCUUCCUUUGAUCUUUUUGUAUGCUUGGUUUUGGCCACUCAGGGGCCCUCCCCCUACCAGCUGACAGUUGUAUGUAUGAAAUCUCUUCUUAGGAUCUUUCAAAAUGGAGAAAAAAUAGAUGAUUAUAGGCUUACUAAAUCAAUCAUCAAGAAGAACCAUCUGGCAUCUCCCAUCAUGGAUUUCUUUAACACAUAAUGAUAGUGAUUUUGGUUUUUCAUACAAAAAACCCCCCUGAAAGGUGGGUGGCCUUUAAAAAAAUAAAGUCAAUUUUUAAUUUAAAUCUUUUGGUACAAUAUGAACUUUUUGAAACUUGUCAUAUAUUAUAACCAAGGGUAUAUUAACCCAAAAGAGUUUUUAUAUAACUGAUCUUACACAAAAAUGCCCUAAAGAUUUAAAAGAUUAUUCAUUAAUUUUCUACAUGCACCUAUCUUGCAGUAGGGAGGAUUAGCAAGGAUUGGAUGAGUCAUUACUGGUUCAAUUUAAUAUAUGACACAGGAGCAGAAAAGUUGCAACUUGCCUGUAACUUUUCUCCUGACCUGGGUGUCUCCUUGUUGGAACUCAUUUCUCUCUCUCUCUCUCUCUCUCUCUCUCACACACACACACACACACACACACACACGGAGAGAGAGAGAGAGAGAGAGAGAGAGAGAGAGAAAUUAAGGGGAAUUAUUCAUUUUCCAUAGAAUACAUGUAAUGUGCAUUUUUUGCAAAAAAAUAAUCAUACACAUUUCUACUGCCAGUUUUCUGUAGUUUAUUUGUUAAACAUUCAUUACUCACCUUUCCUUAUCUAUACAGCAGUUUAUCAUCUUACAACAGCCUCCAUAGAAUUUCAGUACCGUAUCUAAAGGUGCAAACUUUCAUAAACUUCUGCUUAACUAUCACUUUCAUUUGGCAAUAAAAGUUUUAAUGCAACAGUUUAGUGUUAGUGUAUGGACUACCGGAUAAUUAUGUAAUAUAGUCUUGCUCUUGCUUAUUUAAUUUUCCAGCCAUAACAGCUGGGGCUUUUCAACACAGGAUACAAAAAACUUCAGUGCUUUUCCAUCACAAAAAGAACCAGACCUUCAUAGUGAAUAAUUUCAGAAGCCAGCCAGGGUCAAGAAGUACAGAGUUAUAUUUAAUGAAAGUACACUGGGAAAGAGAUAAUUUUGGAACACAUCUAGCAGAAUUUCUCUGCUCCCUCUUUUCUUUGUCGUGCAAAGAGAAUGCCAUCAAUUUUCAAGUGCUGCUGAUGAACUACCUUCUAAGCAACAGAAAAAUACGGCUCAGACUAUACUGUACUGCUAUACGCAAAACAAACCAAAG